UGUAUGUUCAUUUUAAGCUCUGAUAUUCUGUAUGUUCACUUCAAGCUCUGAUAUUCUGUAUGUUCAUUUUAAGCUCUGAUAUUCUGUAGGUUCACUUCAAGCUCUGAUAUUCUGUAUGUUCACUUCAAGCUCUGAUAUUCUUUAUGUUCAUUUCAAGCUCUGAUAUUCUGUAUGUUCAUUUUAAGCUCUGAUAUUCUGUAUGUUCACUUCAAGCUCUGAUAUUCUGUAUGUUCAUUUUAAGCUCUGAUAUUCUGUAUGUUCACUUCAAGCUCUGAUAUUCUUUAUGUUCAUUUUAAGCUCUGAUAUUCUGUAUGUUCAUUUUAAGCUCUGAUAUUCUGUAUGUUCACUUCAAGCUCUGAUAUUCUGUAUGUUCAUUUUAAGCUCUGAUAUUCUGUAUGUUCACUUCAAGCUCUGAUAUUCUUUAUGUUCAUUUUAAGCUCUGAUAUUCUGUAUGUUCAUUUUAAGCUCUGAUAUUCUGUAUGUUCACUUCAAGCUCUGAUAUUCUGUAUGUUCAUUUUAAGCUCUGAUAUUCUGUAUGUUCACUUCAAGCUCUGAUAUUCUGUAUGUUCAUUUUAAGCUCUGAUAUUCUGUAUGUUCAUUUCAAGCUCUGAUAUUCUGUAUGUUCAUUUUAAGCUCUGAUAUUCU
RNAcentral lists this small RNA (645 nucleotides) under Spisula solidissima (Atlantic surf clam). Its description in RNAcentral is "cnRNA252". Lineage: Eukaryota; Metazoa; Mollusca; Bivalvia; Venerida; Mactridae. The record is from RNAcentral.